RNAcentral lists this small RNA (3165 nucleotides) under Pongo abelii (Sumatran orangutan). Its description in RNAcentral is "retained intron". Lineage: Eukaryota; Metazoa; Chordata; Mammalia; Primates; Hominidae. The record is from RNAcentral.
GUGGGAUCGCUGACCGCGCGGCUGCUCCGCUCUCCCCGCUCCAAACGCCGAUCUGGGCACCCGCCACCAGCAUGGACGCUCGCCGCGUGCCGCAGAAAGAUCUCAGAGUAAAGAAGAACUUAAAGAAAUUCAGAUAUGUGAAGUUGAUUUCCAUGGAAACCUCGUCAUCCUCUGAUGACAGUUGUGACAGCUUUGCUUCUGAUAAUUUUGCAAACACGAGGCUGCAGUCAGUUCGGGAAGGCUGUAGGACCCGCAGCCAGUGCAGGCACUCUGGACCUCUCAGGGUGGCGAUGAAGUUUCCAGCACGAAGUACCAGGGGAGCAACCAACAAAAAAGCAGAGUCCCCCCAGCCCUCAGAGAAUUCUGUGACUGAUUCCAACUCCGAUUCAGAAGAUGAAAGUGGCAUGAAUUUUUUGGAGAAAAGGGCUUUAAAUAUAAAGCAAAACAAAGCAAUGCUUGCAAAACUCAUGUCUGAAUUAGAAAGCUUCCCUGGCUCGUUCCGUGGAAGACAUCCCCUCCCAGGCUCCGACUCAGUAAGUACCAGUCCUUGUUUAUAUAUAGUAGUGUUUUGGGCACACCUAAGGUAGAUCUGUGUUGUAUUUAAAAAUCUAAUUUCUUUAUUUGUGUGGCCUUCUAGACAAACGAAGGGGACCUAGAGGAAACCCCCUGACAGAUCUCUGGAUGAUCCUCCUUGAAUCCUGGGCAGUUUGGUCUCUCCUUGCUGUGCUCCUGUGGCACUAAACUCCUUUUGAUUGGUUAUUUCUUUCCUUCCCAGCUAGACUAAGCCCCUCAUGGGCAGGUAAUGAAGACUGAAAACUUUUUUCUGUUCUCCAGUGUGAGCACAUUCCUCCUACAUGGUAGAUGUGCAAUAGAUGUUUUUAAAAUUGGAGAAUGAAAAUAAAAGAAGAAAAUCACAAUUUCUUAUCAAGUCAUAGCUUGGUAUCAUAUACAGUUGCAUUCUGAUGAAUUAAGCUGGUACAACUCAGGGAGAUUUGGUGUGUCUGCUGUGAUAGAAAAGAUUUCUUUUUCCUGCCUUUCCCUGAGGAAAGGAAAGAUAGAGGGAAACCCUACAGAUACCCCUCUAUUUUGCAGUGUAGAAACUGAAUGUGUUUCUACAGGGUCAAGAGACAUCAGAGAAAAUAUUUUUUUUUAGAACAGAAGAUCAUUUCUUACAUCUUCAUUAAGUGAAAGAAUAAAUAGCUCAUCUCUCAAGUUGAAAGAAACUGGGCUUGGUAUUACAAAAGCAAAAUUAAGAUGGCCAUAUAGGUUUUAGGCUCAUUUUGCCAUGCAUUAUGCAAAGGACAAAAAAAAAGAAAAAAUAGAGUUCUCUUUACUUAAAACAUCCUUAAGGAGAAGCUAUGAAUUCCCCAAAGUACUACUUCUCUUUGUUAAGGAAUAAAUGGAUUCCCUUGUGCGUGCUUUGUUUAGCAAUCAAGGAGACCGCGAAGGCGUACAUUCCCAGGUGUUGCUUCCAGGAGAAACCCUGAACGGAGAGCUCGUCCUCUUACCAGGUCAAGGUCCCGGAUCCUCGGGUCCCUUGACGCUCUACCCAUGGAGGAAGAGGAGGAAGAGGAUAAGUACAUGUUGGUGAGAAAGAGGAAGACCAUGGACGGCUACAUGAAUGAAGAUGACCUGCCCAGAAGUCGUCGCUCCAGAUCAUCCAUGACCCUUCCACAUAUAAUUCGCCCAGUGGAAGAAAUUACAGAGGAAGAGUUGGAGAACAUCUGCAGCAAUUCUCGAGAGAAGAUAUAUAACCGUUCACUGAACUGGCAUUGCCCGCCUUGUCGAGGAAUCUGCAACUGCAGUUUCUGCCGGCAGCGAGAUGGACGGUGUGCGACUGGGGUCCUUGUGUAUUUAGCCAAAUAUCAUGGCUUUGGGAAUGUGCAUGCCUACUUGAAAAGCCUGAAACAGGAAUUUGAAAUGCAGGCAUAAUAUCUGGAAAAUUGGCUGCCUGCCUUCUACUUCUCAAAUCUUUCUUGUAAAAGUUUCCAAUUUUUUCACUGAAACCUGAGUUAAAAAUCUUGAUGAUCAGCCUGUUUCAUAAGAAACUCCAAUCAAGUUAAUCUUAGCAGACAUGUGUUUCUGGAGCGUCACAGAAGGUAUAUUGCUAGUUACACUUUGCCCUCCUGCAGUUUCUUCUCUGCUCCCAACCCCCAUCUCAUAGCAUCCCCGUCUAUUUCCAAUGCUCCUCUCCAACCGCUUAGUUUGUGAAUUUCUUUUAAAUUACAGUUUUAUGAAAGCAUAUUUUAUUUACUUGGUGUUGAAAUAGCCCUCAUAAAACCUAAGCACUUGGAAACACAAUAACAGUAUUAACUAACUAGAUCUAUUGAAUUUCAGAGAAGAGCCUUCUAACUUGUUUAUACAAAAACGAGUAUGAUUUAGCAUUCAUACCAGUUGAAAUUUUUAAUAGAAUCAAGGCACAAAAGUCUUAAAACCAUGUGGAAAAAUUAGGUAAUUAUUGCAGAUUGAUGCCUCUCAAUCCCUAGUAUUGCGCUUAUGUUACAAGUUGUUGUCACAGUUGAGACUUAAUUUCUCCUAAUUUCUUCUGCCCGAAGGGUAAGUGGUGCGUCCAGCUUACACAAUCAUGAUUCAAAGGUUGGUGGGCAAUGUAAUACUUAAAAUAAUGAUGGAAGAGCUAUCUGGAAAUUAUGAGUAAGCUGAUUUGAAUUUUCAGUAUAAAACUUUAGUAUAAUUGUAGUUUGCAAAGUUUAUUUCAGUUCACAUGUAAGGUAUUGCAAAUAAAUUCUUGGACAAUUUUGUAUGGAAACUUGAUAUUAAAAACUAGUCUGUGGUUCUUUGCAGUUUCUUGUAAAUUUAUAAACCAGGCACAGCGUUCAAGUUUAGAUUUUAAGCACUUUUAUAACAAUAAGUGCCUUUUUGGAGAUGUAACUUUUAGCAGUUUGUUAACCUGACAUCUCUGCCAGUCUAGUUUCUGGGCAGAUUUCCUGUGUCAGUAUUCCCCCUCCUCUUUGCAUUAAUCAAGUUAUUUGGUAGAGGUGGAAUCUAAGUGUUCGUAUGUCCAAUUUACUUGCAUGUGUAAACCAUUCCUGUGCCAUUCAAUGUUUGAUGCAUAAUUGGACCUUGAAUCGAUAAGUGUAAAUACAGCUUUUGAUCUGUAAUGCUUUUAUACAAAAGUUUAUUUUAAUAAUAAAAUGUUUGUUCUAA